AAUUUGUCUUGUCUUCUGCUGUACACCAUUUCAGUCAAUUUAUCCCAGUCUUUCACCUCUAAUGCAUGGUAACAGCGAAGGAUCAAUAACAUUUCAUCUUUUGUUACUUUCUUUAUUAGGGUCCCGCCAAAGGCGGUCCCCUAUAGUGAUCAGUCUGUCCGUCCGUCCGUCCGUCCGUCCGUCCGUCCGUAACACUUUGUGUCCGCUCCAUAUCUAGAGAACCAUUAUGAUUUCAUACUUUAUACUUUACAUGUUUAUUAACCACCACCAGAGGGCGUGUCAUGAUGUAUGUACAACUUCCUAGGUCAAAGGUCAAGGUCAAAAAACUUUGGUUUCAGUUGACAACCCUGUGUCCUGUGGUGAAGAUCGUGUCCGC
RNAcentral lists this long non-coding RNA (376 nucleotides) under Mytilus galloprovincialis (Mediterranean mussel). Lineage: Eukaryota; Metazoa; Mollusca; Bivalvia; Mytilida; Mytilidae. The record is from RNAcentral.